UGUGUCUUUACUUUGCACUAUGCAAGUGUCCUGCUGUUAUGAUAAGAAGUAAUAGAGUAAACUUGUAACCUAGCCAUUGGAGGUUGCCCCAAAGACAAGGCAGAAACAAUAACAUGAAAAUGUUUAGAGCAGUAUUUUGUUGAUCAUGCCAGAUUCCUGUCCCACCCCAAGAGAUCACACAUCUAGAAGGAUGGAUUGGAUCUUCUGUCAUGGAGGAUAAUACAAGAAGUGUGUUUAUUUAACAUUUCAUAAUUGGUCUAAGGGCUACAAUAUCUUCAUGUCACCUCAUAACCUCCCCAUAGUGAGUCUUUCACAGUGAAUGACUAUUUGUUUGUAGGAUUAGAGAACUUCAAUCUUGCAAACAUCAGCAGAAUCUAGUUCAUGCAAUUCUUUGGACUCUGGAGGCCAGUAGGUGUUCCAAGUUUAGGUGCAGGUGUGAUGAUUCCAUAUGGGGUAGCAAAAAAACAAACAAACAAAAUCAGAGUAGAAUGUAAUUAUCCUAACAUCCCGGUCUAUGCCAUAUAGAGACCAAGCAAUUCAAAUGUGCAGACUCCUUGUGGUAACUUGUGGACUCAAAUGCAUUCUUAAGCUUGAGAGCAGAGGAAGGCAAAAACCAGACCGAUUCACCUAUCACAUGUUUCCUUUCCCAGGCUCAUUCAUUUGUGUCAGUGAGGACUGAGGAAUGAUGAGAAUUAAAAUCAUGGUUACUUGGAGGUGAAAGUUGUAAGACAAAGAGUAUGUGGGAAGAAUGAAAAUAACAGUUCUAUUGAAACAAGGAAUGAAAACUCUGCCCCUAAGCUGACAUGGUUUAUGACUGACGAUGUCACCAAAUUGUGGAGAAGCACUCAUUAACAUAACUGAACAAUAGUUUUGAAAGCUCUUGUACAAGAUACAAGUAGCCAUAAGACUUACUGGCCUGGUGUGUGGAGACUUCAGAGGAGGUAGGGCAACUCUUCUAGGUGCCAUGAGCAAGCCCCAUUAAACUAAAGAAAUCAAAUCACCUCAUUCUUAAAGUCUUGAGAAGAUGAGAUAAACUUAAAAGCUUUCAACUGUGAAAGAACAGAAACAAAGCUCGCUGGAGAGAUGGGAUCUGAAUAGUCAAAUCAUUUUGAAUAGGCACUAUGUACUUGGGAACUUCUGCAUGAGCAAGUGAUUCUUGGAUAUUCCUGUAAAUCCAUUCUGAAUAUGGAAAUAAUCUUCGGGCCGGGCGCGGUGGCUCACUCCUGUAAUCCCAGCACUUUGGGAAGCCGAGGCGGGCAGAUCACGAGGUCAGGAGAUGCAGACCAUCUUGGCUAACACGGUGAAACCCCAUCUCUACUAAAAAUACAAAAAAGUUAGCGGGGCGUGGUGGCGGGCGCCUGUAGUCCCAGUUACUCAGGAGGCUGAGGCAGGAGAACUGCGUGAACCCGGGAGGCGUAGCUUGCGG
This 1426-nucleotide long non-coding RNA is filed under the name Homo sapiens (human). Its description in RNAcentral is "HSALNT0072774". The record is from RNAcentral. Lineage: Eukaryota; Metazoa; Chordata; Mammalia; Primates; Hominidae.